AAAGAACUCUAGAUUCGUUAACUGGACGAGGAAGAAUUUCCUUAUUUCGCUUGCGAUUUAAGGCAAAAUUAAAAUUAAAAAAUUUGGUCAAUUAGGGGCAUUAAUUGGAGCAAUUGAUGACAUACCAGUAGUCGUAUGAUGCUGCUAAUGAUUCUUGUCUUGCCAAUUUUAUAAAAAAACCAUUCCCAAAUCCAUUAAUUGAAGGAGACGAAAUUGCCUUGUUUUGCC
RNAcentral lists this long non-coding RNA (228 nucleotides) under Olea europaea (common olive). Its description in RNAcentral is "long non-coding RNA (OEUR_LNC004456)". Lineage: Eukaryota; Viridiplantae; Streptophyta; Magnoliopsida; Lamiales; Oleaceae. The record is from RNAcentral.